Molecule: long non-coding RNA, 394 nt
Organism: Scomber scombrus (Atlantic mackerel)
Lineage: Eukaryota; Metazoa; Chordata; Actinopteri; Scombriformes; Scombridae
Exons: 4
Source: RefSeq, a predicted model, not a curated record
GAAGAUCUUGCAGGGGGGUCUGAUCCGGGAGGUGGUGUGGUUUCUGAAGGUCCUCUCUGCUAGCUUCUCUCUGAAGUACUUCACUGGAUUCAGGAAAUAAAGCUGGAUUACAGCUGACAACCUCAUGAGAUGUACAGAGAUAGUGGCCCUCAUCCAUCCAACUGUUGUACCAUCAAAUCUGAUCUGAAAGUGUUUUCCCAUUUCAACACUAAAGAAUUGAUCCGUUCAGAGCUCUAAGAUCAGUCUCAGUGACGUCAGUCCCCUUACCUACAAAUACGCUACGCUUACACUACCCACCAAGUUUUUGUCAGUGGAUGUGACAUGGAUCAGAUAAGAUUUGGCAUCCUGCUUAAAACUAUUGUUUUACAGAGUUUUAUCUCGAGGACCGUGCUUU